This is a long non-coding RNA of Gallus gallus (chicken), 2313 nucleotides long. RefSeq lists it as uncharacterized. The transcript is spliced from 5 exons. The record is from RefSeq and is a predicted model, not a curated record. Lineage: Eukaryota; Metazoa; Chordata; Aves; Galliformes; Phasianidae.
UUUGUGCUGUGGGACCCAGACUGCACCCAGUGCAGGAGAUGAGGCCGCACAGCACAGAGCAGAGGGGACAGCCCCUCCCCUCACCCAGUGGCAGCGCUGGGCCUGGUGCCCCCCAGUGUGUAGUUGGCCCUCCUGGUGUCAGGGCACACUGCUGGCUCCUGUACAACUUACUGCCAGCCAGAGCCCCCAUCCCUUUCAGUGGGGCUGCUGUCCAGCAACUCACUCCCAGCCUGUAUGUACAGCCAGGGCUGCUCCUCCCCUGGCACAGAAUCCGGCACUGCUCUUAUGAUGAUGUAAUAAUCCCUGUCCUCAGGUUUUUCUGGAGCGGAACCAGGGUCUCCUAGGAAGGGAAAGUGGAAUCUGUAGAUCCAGUGAUAAUAACUGUCCUUUCCUGGCAGGGAUUUACUGUGUGCUUAUCCCUUUUCUCUGCAGAAUAAGAAAAUGACCUGGAUGUGAAGGAGUGUCACCCACAAGUAGAGGCAUUCCUCAAAACUCUGCAGCCCAGUUCAGGGUACUGUCUACUGCUCUACAGCUGCUUUUGACCUUGCAUUUGUAGCAAAGGGCUAAGAGAUCAAGGGAAGCCAAAUGGAAUCUACUUUCCUGUUGUUGAUGAGAGAGAAAGCAAGGGAAAACAAAACUAAGAAAGGAUGGAAGGGAUGAAGGACUUGACAAUCUGACUCUGAGCCCUACCUUCAGACUACUGCCUGACCUUAGGCAAACUGUAUUACAGGUGGAAAGUGUUUCCUAGGAGCUAGGCAUUUAUUAUAUUGCUUUUUUAGAUAUGUAUUCCAAAAAAAAAAAAAAAAAAAAACCCCACCAAAGUAUGAGAAAAUAAAGGGUUACAAAACAAAGAGUAGAAAAGCACCAACAAAUAUUGUCUCAAACCUUCCCUUUCAAGCAACACAUAAAAAAGCAAUUGAGACUACAAUGGAUAAAUCCUCCUCUGACAGCAGGCCAAUCAGACAGAGAGCCGUUCUCUGAAUCCCAGCCUAUUUCAUGCCAUGCAAAAUCACUGCGGGAAAAGACUGACAAGGCUCAGACAGCUCAUAGCACUGUACCUUUGCUCAUGGCAGCAAUGCCAGCCAAUUGCUAGCGUCUUGGUGUCUGGCCAAAGCAGAUGGCAGACAACUGUCUGAAGCUGGGACCUGGGAAAAUGGGGAUAACAUCAGGAAAAAAACAAAAACAUCUUACAUACCUACUACUCCCACCUCAUCCCACUCUGGGGACAUGCCUGCUCACUGUGGACUGAGUCAGUGGCUGCUGCUGUGGUCCUCUGGUGCUCUGCAUAGUUACUGCAUACUUGCAGACCUGCAGCAGUUAGCACAUCUCCUACCUCCCGCGCACAAGGACUUUCCAGCCAAGGCCACAGACCAGCGCCUCCCUGGUGGGUCAGAGAGUUGAGAUGAAGCAACAGUACCCACUCGGGAAACUUUGCUGGCUCUGAAAAUCUUCCUGACCUUUUGUUGGAUCUUAGGUUACCGUGACAUAUCUGUCCGGAUCUGGGUUUUGAUUCUCCAUUCCAUAGCACUAUUCCAAGCUGGCUGGGGUAGCACCUUGCCCUCAGAAAAGACCUCAUCUGAAUGCUCCAUUCCCAGGGAGAAGAAUGGGUCAGUGGUUGUGUUUUGAGGGUGAGGAGAUGGAAAGGAUGUUUGAGGUCACUGGCUGCAGAGGGGAGCUGCAGGGCUGGUGAUGAUGAUUGGGAAUCUUAUUAUUUCUUCCCUCCCAGUUUCUAUCUCCAUGCAGAUAUUUGCAGCUCUCCCCACCCAGCUGUGCCAUCUCUCAACCUCGACCUUCCCAGCACUCCCCAGGCAGGUCCUGGCCCUUCACUGUGGUGUGGCAAAAUUCAAUCUUGCCUACGCAGCUGAAAAACUUUGGCUCUUCAUAAUAACACCAGCUUGCCUGCAGGGAAUAAGGUGGAAGCUGGACCACGUCAAGGCCUUUUAUAUCCUGCAAAGGUAAAUGCUUGGGAUGGAAACUGAGAUGUACUCAGCUGGUGAAAGCUUCUACCAAGCUCUUGGCAUUGACACUCUCCUCCCAUCAGAAAGACAAUACAAAUACAAACAGUUCUGGAUGAGCUGAAACUGAAGUGUGGAGCUUUUCUGGAGCAUAUUAAAAGAAAAGCCUGCUCAGACAUACCGUGGGAACUAAAGAGGCGUACGUGUCCAGCAACAGUUUGCUUCAUAGUGGAGACUGUGCAUGCAGGUCACAUUUCCCUCUGCAGUCAUCUUCUGGAUUGUGUUUAUCUAUGUGUCAGAAGUGAAAACACAGACAUAAGAACAUAAGAACACUUAACGUUUUCUUUUUUUUUUUCAU